RNAcentral lists this ribosomal RNA (359 nucleotides) under Rhodospirillaceae bacterium. RNAcentral's name for it is "bacterial SSU rRNA". It matches the Rfam family "Bacterial small subunit ribosomal RNA", at positions 1 to 375 of the family's 1533-position model. The record is from RNAcentral. Lineage: Bacteria; Pseudomonadati; Pseudomonadota; Alphaproteobacteria; Rhodospirillales; Rhodospirillaceae.
AUUCAACCUGAGAGUUUGAUCCUGGCUCAGAACGAACGCUGGCGGCAUGCCUAACACAUGCAAGUCGAACGAGAAGCUAUCUUCGGAUAGUGGAAAGUGGCGCACGGGUGAGUAACGCGUGGGAACCUGCCCUGAGGUUCGGAAUAACGAUUGGAAACGGUCGCUAAUACCGGAUGAGCCCUGAGGGGGAAAGAUUUAUCGCCUUGGGAGGGGCCCGCGUCCGAUUAGCUUGUUGGUGUGGUAACGGCGCACCAAGGCUUCGAUCGGUAGCUGGUCUGAGAGGAUGAUCAGCCACACUGGGACUGAGACACGGCCCAGACUCCUACGGGAGGCAGCAGUGGGGAAUAUUGGACAAUGGG